Molecule: ribosomal RNA, 406 nt
Filed under: uncultured bacterium
Lineage: Bacteria
Description: partial 16S ribosomal RNA
Rfam family: Bacterial small subunit ribosomal RNA
Source: RNAcentral
AUUGAACGCUGGCGGCAGGCCUAACACAUGCAAGUCGGGCGAGCUGCGGACGGGUGAGUAAUGUAUGGGGAUCUGUCUGAUGGAGGGGUAUAACUACUGGAAACGGUAGCUAAUACCGCAUACCAUCAGAUGACUCCAUAUGGGAUUAGCUUGUAGGUAAGGUAACGGCUUACCUAGGCGACGAUCCCUAGCUGGUCGUAGAGGAUGAUCUGCCACACUGGGACUGAUACACGGCCCAGACUCCUGCGUGAGACAGCAGUGGAGCAUAUUGCACGCUGGGCGCAAGCCUGAUGCAGCCAUCCCGCGUGUAUGAAGAAGGCCUUCGUGUUGUAAAGUUCUUUCAGUCGGGAGGCGUUACCGACAGAAGAAGCACCGGCUAACUCCGUGCCAGCAGCAGCGGUAAUAC